Rhinopithecus roxellana (golden snub-nosed monkey) is the source of this 2378-nucleotide long non-coding RNA. RefSeq lists it as uncharacterized. NCBI's taxonomy places the organism in Eukaryota, Metazoa, Chordata, Mammalia, Primates, Cercopithecidae. The record is from RefSeq and is a predicted model, not a curated record. The transcript has 3 exons.
UGCUGGGAUUACAGGCAUGAGCCACUGUGCCCAGCCGAGAUUUUUAAAAAUGAAUAAAUGAGUUGUGCAAUGUGGGAAAUACAUCAGCACUCUAGAAGAGGCUCAGAGCAAGAGAUGAUACUAUUAGCUCAAUUAUACUAGCUGCCUGAAAGAGUAAAAGUCAUAAGUUUGUGAGACCACUCCUGCUUUUAGAACUUAAUAAGGUUGAACAGAAGUCUGUAAACUUGGGUGACUUCUCUCUGGGAGAUAUUCUGGUCAUAUAUGAUGAUGAACUGGGAUAACUGUUAAUGACUGACUGGUACUCUGUGAAUGUGCCAGUAUCUUUGGCUCUUAUUUUUCAGGUUUCAUUUACUGCCAUCCUGUGACAUGGUAUAAUACUGGCAUUGUUGGUAAGGUUAUAACACUGGUCAUACGUAUUGGAAAUUGAAUUGAAGCCUCCUUCGAAUGAAUACUAAUGGAACAUGACUUGCCUGAGGAGGAAGUAGAUUUAGCUAAUCAACAGCUAAUUUCUAUGACAAAUAGUUCUGCACAAGUUUACCAUGAGUGAAUGUUUCCCUCUGAGGAUGAAGAUCACUAUAAACAACUCUGAUGAGAUCAUGCUGACACAAUGCCCCUUCUGUCAAAGCCAUGGAUCCAAUUGUUGAAGGCUACAAAAAUAAGAUGAGGCAACUGAAGUCAAGAUAUUAAGUAACUUGUCCCAAUUUAAAACAGCCAAUAAGUGGCAGAGCAUGGUUCUGAAGCGAAUACAAGUCAUUCUAAAGCCCUUGCUCCUUCCUUCAGACUUCUAGCGAUGGAAAUGUUUGCUAAUGAUUUUUUAAAGUAACUAAUACUUAGAAGAGUGAGCACUGGUACAGAAGAAUAUUUACCAUGAGAUUCAAUUUUCUUGUACUUUAUUACCUUUCAGUUAUAAAACUAAACUUUAUUAUGUGGAGUGUCUAUUUACAAUGUAUACUAAAUACACAAAAUAUAAGACUUCAAGGCGCAGAAAUUUCAAUACCAAUGGUCCUUAAAUGGACAUCAUGAGAAAAAAAUAGAAUAAUAAUGUUUACGGUACUGAAUUCCUUAGAAGAAAAGAGUUUUAUAAACAAUGUACUAUCAAAUACAUGAUAUAUUAUCAAAUAACUAUUAACAAAUUUACAACUUUUAUGACAAAUAACACUUUGGUUUCUCAAUUGCUACCCCACUCAAUGACUCCAAGAUACAUUCAUAAAAUUCACGAUUCUUUAUUGAUGAGUUCAGGUAACUGCCCAAUUUUGUAGAGGCACAUGGGAAUGGAAAUAUGAUGCUGUGCUAUUUUGUUUCCCUGAAUUGCACAAGAAAAGGUGCCUUGUGCUGCCCAAGUCUUCAGAAAAGUGCUACGCAGAUUAUCCCAUGUUCCUAAACUCUCCCUCACCUUUUCACCUUGCUUCCUACAGUCCUUGUAACCUUUCUAGCAUAACCUCCUCAUCUUGCAGAAGUGAUCAAGUCUCAAUCUUCGAGUUCUAUGUAAAGCCCCUAGUAUCUCAGAAGUGUUUAUGGUUUCUUUCCUCCCCCUAGUUUCCACUGUGUUCUUACUAAGAUUUUAAAAAUCCUACCAUGCUAUAAUACCAUAUGAACUUUUUUCCUGAAACUGAUGUCCUCCCCUCAGAGAAACAGAAAUCUCAUGUCCAUUUGCCUCACUCUUCUCAAUUAUGUAUAUAGCCUUUAACAUAUAAGAAGUGGUGACUAAAUUCAAUUUAUAAUUCAAAAGUCUCUCUGCAUACCACCACAAGAUUCGUUUUCCCAAUAUAUAAUACAAUUCUUCUGCUCAAAACCCUCUAAUUGCUUUGAAGAGAACCUAAAUCUAAACUCUUCACUUUAAAAAGACUCUCCAAAACUGACACAAAAUUGUCUUUUCCAGCUUGCAUAUGUACUCUGUGCUUCAAACAGAAUUACUUUCUAUUUCCAGGACGUGACCUGACUGUCCUGCCUCUCUGCUUAUGUUCAAUUGAUAGCUGCUUCCUGAAAUCUCACCUGCUCCUUAUCUCAACGGGCCAAAACUAUACCGCUUCAUAAGGCCCAGCUUAGAUGCCAUCGCCUCAAUAAAGCCUGCCAUGAUAACUUCAGCUAACAUCUGAGUUUCUCUCUAAAAUCCUCUUAUUAUACAAACCGCAUUACUAGUUAUGUGUAAACAUGUCUUUUCGAACACAGCAGGAGUUUCCUAGAAGUAGGUGCCACACAUGUAAUUCUCCAUAUUUUCAGUGUCCAACUCAAUGCCAUACAUCCAAAAACAUUUAUAAAUAUUGGUCAAAUAAAAUAAUUUGAAGAAAUAAAUAUUAAUAAUGCUAUCAAUUAUAGUAGUUUUACAUACUUUAUAAAAUACAUUAUCAAAAAAUGCAUUAUCAAUAUUUACCCCUGUA